GCUUGUCUCAAAGAUUAAGCCAUGCAUGUCUAAGUAUAAACAAUUUGUACUGUGAAACUGCGAAUGGCUCAUUAAAUCAGUUAUAGUUUAUUUGAUGGUAUCUUGCUACAUGGAUAACUGUGGUAAAUCUAGAGCUAAUACAUGCUUAAAAGCCCCGACUUCUGGAAGGGGUGUAUUUAUUAGAUAAAAACCAACCCUUCGGGUCCCUUGGUGAAUCAUAAUAACUUCUCGAAUCGCAUGGCCUAGUGCCGGCGAUGCUUCAUUCAAAUAUCUGCCCUAUCAACUGUCGAUGGUAGGAUAGAGGCCUACCAUGGUUGCAACGGGUAACGGGGAAUAAGGGUUCGAUUCCGGAGAGGGAGCCUGAGAAACGGCUACCACAUCCAAGGAAGGCAGCAGG
RNAcentral lists this ribosomal RNA (397 nucleotides) under Entyloma calendulae. RNAcentral describes it as "partial small subunit ribosomal RNA". It matches the Rfam family "Eukaryotic small subunit ribosomal RNA", at positions 30 to 432 of the family's 1831-position model. The record is from RNAcentral. Lineage: Eukaryota; Fungi; Basidiomycota; Exobasidiomycetes; Entylomatales; Entylomataceae.